Molecule: ribosomal RNA, 529 nt
Filed under: uncultured bacterium
Lineage: Bacteria
Description: bacterial SSU rRNA
Rfam family: Bacterial small subunit ribosomal RNA
Source: RNAcentral
UCCUGGGGCGCAGCCUGAUCUAGCCAUGCCGCGUGAGUGAUGAAGGCCUUAGGGUCGUAAAGCUCUUUCGCCUGUGAUGAUAAUGACAGUAGCAGGUAAAAAAACCCCGGCUAACUCCGUGCCACCACCCGCGGUAAUACGGAGGGGGUUAGCGUUGUUCGGAAUUACUGGGCGUAAAGCGCGCGUAGGCGGAUUAGAAAGUUGGGGGUGAAAUCCCGGGGCUCAACCCCGGAACUGCCUCCAAAACUGCUAGUCUAGAGUUCGAGAGAGGUGAGUGGAAUUCCUAGUGUAGAGGUGAAAUUCGUAUAUAUUCCGAGGAACACCACUGGCGAAGGCGGCUCACUGGCUCGAUACUGACGCUGACGUGCAAAAGUGUGGGGAGCAAACAGGAUUAAAUACCCUGGUAGUCCACUCCGUAAACGAUGAAUGCCAGUCGUCUGAUAAUAUACUAUUCGGUGACACACCUAACGGAUUAAGCAUUCCGCCUGGGGAGUACGGUCCCCAGAUUAAAACUCAAAUGAAUUGACGG